ACUGCUACUAAACUCUCUCAAGGACAGGAUGAUACAGUUAGAGGAGAAAUCCAGAGCAGACGUAAAAACAUUCGAAUAGUGGGCCUGGCUGAAAGAGAAGAGGGUUCGGGUCCACUGUUUAAAUAUCUGCAUAUUUCGAGACAUCAGCCUUGGCCACCAAGUUCCUGGAGAAGGAAUUUGAAAGCCAUUCUGCGGAUCCCCCGGUGUGAAAUUGAAAUUGGAUUACACACCAAGAAUUGUCUUUUCUUUUAUAAAGUGUGGAGAGGCACACGACAGGGGUGUCCCUUGUCCCCACUCCUCUUUGCCUUGGCAAUAAAACCUCGCAGCAUCUAUUAGAUCUUCUGCUUCAAUUGAUGGUAUUCUAGCAGCUGUUAAGGUUCGGGAGAGACCGUACCGGAUCCCAGAGAGUCGCAGGGUUCCUGUUCGCAAGGAGGUGGAGAAUAUCCUCGGGUUUGGAGUCAUUGAACCUUCCCGGAGCAAGUGGUGCAGUCCUAUUGUGAUGGUGGGCAAGAAGGACGGCUCUACUCAGUUCAGUUCUGUGUGGAAUUUAGAAAGGUUAAUGCCCUCUCCAAGUUCGAUGCAUAUUUGGAUCUGACUAAGGGAUACUGGCAAAUUCCACUCACUCCGAGCUCAAGAGAGAAAACUGCUUUCUCUACCCCAGAUGGCUUGUUCCAUUUCAGGACCAUGCCCUUCAGGUUGCAUUGAGCUCCUGCCACCUUUCAGAGACUGAUGGACCAGGUCUUGGCUCCCCAUCAUCAGUAUGCUACCGCAUGCAUUGAUGAUGUGGUGAUUUUUAGCUCCAACUGGAAGGAGCAUAUUACUAGACUUUCAGCCAUCCUACAGUCUCUAAGGGAGGCAGGGCUAACAUCCAAACUGGGCAGGUGUGCAUUUGGCAAACAGGAGAUCCAAUAUCUUGUCUAAAUUAUGGGUAAUGGCUAGGUAAAGCCGAUCACCUCCAAAGUCCAGGCGCUGGUGGAGACGGCGAUCCCGAGAACCAAGUCACAGGUGAGAUCACUACUGGGGUUAGCCGGCUAUUAUCGCCAUUUUAUCCCCGAGUAUGCCACCAUAGUCAACCCCCUGGUAGAUCUCACCCAAAAGGCUGCUCCAAAAAUAGUUAAAUGGACAGUGCCGUGUCGGGAGGCAUUUGAUAUGAUUAAGAAGAGACUCUGUCAAGCUCCCGCUCUGAUUUCACCAGAUUUCAGUAAAUAGUUCAUCCUUCAGACUGAUGCCUCCCAGAUUGGUCUGGGGGCGGUCCUGUCCCAACAAGUUGACGGAGUAGAACACCCUAUCAUUUAUUUGAGCAAAAAAUGGCUCCUGGGGAGAUUAAGUACUCCGUCAUUGAGAAGGAGUGUUUAGCCAUCAAAUGAGCUACUCACACUCUUCGCUAUUACUUGUUGGGGCGUUCUUUCUCUCUUGUCACUGAUCAUGCUCCUUUAAGUUGGUUACACACGAUGAAGGAGAACAAAUCCCUGAUAACUCAUGGUAGCUGGCGUUGCAACCCUUCCACUAUACAGUGAAACAUUGUGCGGGUAAGGAGCAUUUUCAAGGGAGGGGGGACCAUUGGGGAAUGUAGAGUUGGCCGAGUAUUCUUUCGGCAUCACUCUGAGGGGUAAGAUAUGUGAUAAAGAGAGAAAGAAUCGAUUCUGUAAAUCUCCCUCCCGUCCAGAAACGGCACUGUGUAAGGCUGGUAUUACAUUUCCCCAUAGAAGGGUUGACUCGACGGUGGUCACAGGAAGACGGCCAUCUUGGAGGAAGUACGUAGCUGCGAGUACUCUAAAUGAUUCCCAUAUGAUCAUCUGAGGGACAAGCAGCAUUUAGUUACACUGGGGCGCCGGGCUGAUUGCAGGGAGGAGCUGGGCAGUACAAAGGGGACACAGCUGCAUGAGCACAGCCCCUGGUUUGUGAAGGGAAUGCCUCUUUGUUCAUCCACAUAACAUGUUGUUGAAGAACUGUUAUAAUAAAUUCAAGUUAAACAACUUCCCAUCCACAAAAUGUUUUUUUAUAGUUAAUCUGAAAAAAAGCAUCAUUCUGUAAAGAAUUAAGAGAGAAAUCAUUUGAUCAUAGUACUGUA
Molecule: long non-coding RNA, 2071 nt
Organism: Acipenser ruthenus (sterlet)
Lineage: Eukaryota; Metazoa; Chordata; Actinopteri; Acipenseriformes; Acipenseridae
Exons: 3
Source: RefSeq, a predicted model, not a curated record